Molecule: ribosomal RNA, 1371 nt
Filed under: uncultured bacterium
Lineage: Bacteria
Description: bacterial SSU rRNA
Rfam family: Bacterial small subunit ribosomal RNA
Source: RNAcentral
AGAGUUUCAUUCUGGCUCAGGACGAACGCUGGCGGCGUGCCUAACACAUGCAAGUCGAACGGGGUAGAUUACUUCGGUUUUCUGCUUAGUGGCGAACGGGUGAGUAACGCGUGAGCAACCUGCCUUUCAGUGGGGGACAACAGUUGGAAACGACUGCUAAUACCGCAUAAUGUUAUUUGGGGGCAUCCUCAAAUAACCAAAGAUUUAUUGCUGAAAGAUGGUCUCGCGUCUGAUUAGCUUGUUGGCGGGGUAACGGCCCACCAAGGCGACGAUCAGUAGCCGGUCUGAGAGGAUGAACGGCCACAUUGGGACUGAGAUACGGCCCAGACUCCUACGGGAGGCAGCAGUGGGGAAUAUUGGGCAAUGGGCGAAAGCCUGACCCAGCAACGCCGCGUGAAGGAAGAAGGCCUUCGGGUUGUAAACUUCUUUUACCAGGGACGAAAUCUGACGGUACCUGGAGAAAAAGCAACGGCUAACUACGUGCCAGCAGCCGCGGUAAUACGUAGGUUGCAAGCGUUGUCCGGAUUUACUGGGUGUAAAGGGCGUGUAGGCGGAGAUGCAAGUUGGGAGUGAAAUCCCGGGGCUCAACCCCGGAACUGCUUUCAAAACUGCAUCCCUUGAGUAUCGGAGAGGCAAGCGGAAUUCCUAGUGUAGCGGUGAAAUGCGUAGAUAUUAGGAGGAACACCAGUGGCGAAGGCGGCUUGCUGGACGACAACUGACGCUGAGGCGCGAAAGCGUGGGGAGCAAACAGGAUUAGAUACCCUGGUAGUCCACGCUGUAAACGAUGAAUACUAGGUGUGGGGGGACUGACCCCCUCCGUGCCGCAGUUAACACAAUAAGUAUUCCACCUGGGGAGUACGACCGCAAGGUUGAAACUCAAAGGAAUUGACGGGGGCCCGCACAAGCAGUGGAUUAUGUGGUUUAAUUCGACGCAACGCGAAGAACCUUACCAGGACUUGACAUCCAACUAACGAAGUAGAGAUACAUUAGGUGCCCUUCGGGGAAAGUUGAGACAGGUGGUGCAUGGUUGUCGUCAGCUCGUGUCGUGAGAUGUUGGGUUAAGUCCCGCAACGAGCGCAACCCCUAUUGUUAGUUGCUACGCAAGAGCACUCUAGCGAGACUGCCGUUGACAAAACGGAGGAAGGUGGGGACGACGUCAAAUCAUCAUGCCCCUUAUGUCCUGGGCUACACACGUACUACAAUGGUGGUUAACAAAGCGAAGCAAGACCGCGAGGUGGAGCAAAUCGCGAAAAGCCAUCCCAGUUCGGAUUGCAGGCUGCAACUCGCCUGCAUGAAGUUGGAAUUGCUAGUAAUCGUGGAUCAGCAUGCCACGGUGAAUACAAUCCCGGGCCUUGCACACACCGCCCGUCA